AUCGUAAGAUCGGGACCGGCUACAAUCGGCCUAAAAUCGGAAAGUGCCGUGCAAGCUGCCGAAUGAAACCGGAAUGACCCGAGGAUAUCUGAAUGUUAUGUGUACGUUUGCGACAUCACAGCUCAUUUACGGCAGCUACUGUCAACGUGGAAGAAGCUGGGCUGACUGACAUUGGCGUUUUUAAUAAACAACCUAUCAUCAACUAAACAACCAAUCAUCAACUGAGAUCAACAUGAGGCAGCUGAAGGGCAAGGUCAAGGAGUCUCGCAAGGAGAAGCGAGAACGCAAAUUGGACAAUAUGAAAAACAAGGACGGCCUGAUGACGGUGGUGCUUCCAGUGCUGGGGGUGAUCGCCUUGUUGAUUGGACUGUUUGUGUACGUGAACACCCGCCCGAUGCCCAAUGAGCAGUGAUCUGACCAGCGAUACUGGACAUUUAUUGUUACCAUUAUAUUUCUAUAUUUCAUGGUUAUGGGUGUUUCUGAGAAUUGUAGGAGUGCUGAGUGAAAGUUUGGUGUUUUACCUGUUAUUCAAGAUUAUGCCAUAAUACAUUUGUAAUUUUAAUAUUCAUACAUCAUGUCAUGGAUUUUUAGCUACUGAGAUUAUAAGGUGGUGUGAAUUUAUAUCUCUGCAGUAUUAUGCAAUGGAAUAUACAUGCUUUAUCCAGUCUUGGGAUCUGGGUCACAUCUGUGAACAAAAUGAAUUCCAUGCAUCACUUUGGAAAUAAUUGUUAUUGUUGAACUUAUUUUAUUUUUCUGGGCUUCUGGGUUAUGCUGUGUGAACAAAAUAACUUCUGAUCAGUCAUGGCCCAAUGCUCAUGACACGUGACACUUUUGUCCGAAUCCAUACAGUUUGUGUGUGUGCACUCAUCCUUCUGGGUACCCAUUCACUGCUGGGUGAACGGAGGCCCAUUAAAAGCCACCUGCCAGAGGACACCCAACAUUUUGUGUCAGUGACUUCAUCCCUGCCAUCUUAGUAUGAUCUGACAAAUGGGUCCAGGCAUACAUAAGCCCACAUGCCAUCUUGAACGUAGCUGUGCUCAAACCUUGUGUCAAACAUAAUGAAUGAAUCAUGACACCCCUACGAACAAGUGAAUCUCAUCAUCAAUAUCACGACUAGUUCAUGAUUUAGGAGGAUGAAACAAAAACAAAAUGCUAAUGUCAGCCGAGCAAAGAAACAAUGCGAGUAAUGUGUGAAGUCUAGUCAUUAUUUAUUUUUGAAAGUGCCACAGCUUUCAUGAUAGUCUUGUAUUUGUUGGGAAUGAGUUCACUGAGUUUGAAUCCUCACACGAUGAUGGGGGCAGUGAGGUAGCCUAGUGGUUAAAGCGUUAAAGCUGGAGUCCCGGUUCGAUUCCUACAUGGGUACAAUGUGUGAAGCCCAUUUCUGGUGUCCCCCGCCGUGAUAUUGCUGGAAUAUUGCUACAAGCGGCGUAAAAGCAAACUCACUCACUCACAGGAUGAUGUUUCCAGCUUUGUUAGCACCAUAACCGCUCCUGUGUUUGUUGAAAGUGAUAAAAAUAUGUAGAUUAGAACAGCAUCACUUCAGACGUUCCUUUCAUCAAACUGAUGUAACUUGUUCAACACAGUAUUAUGCUAAACUCUAUGAUAAUGAUAACAACUAAAGUAGUGUUUAUUUGUAAUGCGCUAAAUCCACACCUGAAAGCUAAGAGCUACAUGACAACCCAGGUGAUUUGAUCAGCAUGAUCAACAUCCACUUGAUUUUCAUUCUCAGCUCCUUGGGGAGUAUACAAUAACUCGGAGAUGCCAGUAGGCUGCCACUAUGUUGUCAUGCACCUGUUUGGUUACGGUAAUAGAUUUCCACAUAAUUAUUGAUGUAUAUCACAAGAACUAGUUCUAGUUAUCAGAUUGUAGCUUCAACAUAUUUAACAGAAACCUGUUUUUGUUUGAAACAAAUUUUUGUAUUGUUUAAAAAGAUAUAUUUUGCAUAAUAAUUGUUCUUUUAGGAAUUGACUCUCUCCAUGUACUAUUAUUUAAAAGGUAAUUUUCAUUGUUUUUUAUUGAAAACUACCUAAUUUCCACCAUUUCACACACUCUGUUUAUGAGCUUUUUUAUUCAAACUACUUAUAUGGUAAGAUGUGAUAUGUGAAAGAUAGGACUUCAGAUUUAGGACCUAUCACCAAAGAAAUAAUCUCUUGUCAUUUGAUUUUGAGAUGAUAUUUUUUGUUCUUUUGUUAGCCUAUAUACAUGCACUUUGUUCCCAGAUCUUGCAGUUGCUAGCCACCAAGAUACAACUACCAAAAACAUUUAUUGUUAUGAGAUAUGUGUGAAUGAAUCAAUGUAUUGCUUCUUUGUAAGUCUUUUUAAAUAUUGCUGAUAAUAAUUACUGAUUAUGCAGAACAUGUUACCAUGGUAACAAAAACACUUGAAAUGAAAUGAGAAUCAUAUUAAUUGUGUCAUCAGUUUUUAUGUAAAACAUUCUACUGUUAAAAUUGCUCCAUUAGUUUUGUUAUCAGGUCAUUCCUAUUCCCAGCCUGUACACUUAAUUCUGCCCAUGAGUAUAUGGCUUGUCAAAGGAGGAAUGUUGUAUAUCUUCUGGCAGCAGACAAGAAGGCUUUCAACUGAAAGCCUCACUGCAUAAUGUUAGACUGUAUUUGUGAAGGGGGUUAUGGGGAAGAUCUGUUGUAAUGAAUUAUUAUGUCUUAUGAGAUUAUUAAAAGUGAUAUUUAUCAAA
Long non-coding RNA from Haliotis rubra (blacklip abalone), 2689 nucleotides. RefSeq lists it as uncharacterized. The transcript has 3 exons. NCBI's taxonomy places the organism in Eukaryota, Metazoa, Mollusca, Gastropoda, Lepetellida, Haliotidae. The record is from RefSeq and is a predicted model, not a curated record.